AGCAGUCGCCGCGGUAAUACGGAGGGGGCUAGCGUUGUUCGGAAUUACUGGGCGUAAAGCGCACGUAGGCGGCUUGGUAAGUUAGAGGUGAAAGCCUGGAGCUCAACUCCAGAAUUGCCUUUAAGACUGCCGAGCUAGCAGGUAAGAGAGGUAAGUGGAAUUCCGAGUGUAGAGGUGAAAUUCGUAGAUAUUCGGAAGAACACCAGUGGCGGAGGCGGCUUACUGGCUCAUACUGGACGCUGAGGUGCGAAAGCGUGGGGAGCAAACAGGAUUAGAUACCCCUGUAGUCCCUGUCUCUUAUAC
RNAcentral lists this ribosomal RNA (303 nucleotides) under uncultured bacterium. Its description in RNAcentral is "partial 16S ribosomal RNA". It matches the Rfam family "Bacterial small subunit ribosomal RNA", at positions 507 to 807 of the family's 1533-position model. The record is from RNAcentral.